GCCUGGUAUGGUGGUGCAUGUCUGUAAUCCCAGCUACUCGGGAGGCUGAGGCAGGGGAAUUGCUUGAAUCCGGGAGUCUGAGGCUGCAGUGAGCUGUGACUGUGCCACUGCACACCAGCCUGGGCGACAGAGCGAGACCCUGUCUCAA
Unclassified non-coding RNA from Pongo abelii (Sumatran orangutan), 148 nucleotides. It matches the Rfam family "Metazoan signal recognition particle RNA". Rfam says of the family: The signal recognition particle (SRP) is a universally conserved ribonucleoprotein. It is involved in the co-translational targeting of proteins to membranes. The eukaryotic SRP consists of a 300-nucleotide 7S RNA and six proteins: SRPs 72, 68, 54, 19, 14, and 9. NCBI's taxonomy places the organism in Eukaryota, Metazoa, Chordata, Mammalia, Primates, Hominidae. The record is from Ensembl.